RNAcentral lists this ribosomal RNA (484 nucleotides) under uncultured bacterium. RNAcentral describes it as "partial 16S ribosomal RNA". It matches the Rfam family "Bacterial small subunit ribosomal RNA", at positions 30 to 507 of the family's 1533-position model. The record is from RNAcentral.
AUUGAACGCUGGCGGCAGGCCUAACACAUGCAAGUCGAGCGGCUGCAGAGUAAUUGCUCCUGGAUACAGCGGCGGACGGGUGGGUAAUGCAUAGGAACAUGCCUGGCUGCGGGGGCUAACGUCAGGAAACGGGCGCUCAUACCGCAUACGUCCAGAGGGCGUACGUGUGGAAUCAUCGGAUCUCACGCUCUCAGAUGAGCCGAGGUCGGAUUAGCUAGUUGGUGGGGUAAAGGCCUACCAAGGCGACGAUCCGUAACUGGUCUGAGAGGAUGAUCAGCCACACUGGAACUGAGACACGGUCCAGACUCCUACGGGAGGCAGCAGUGGGGAAUAUUGGACAAUGGGCGAAAGCCUGAUCCAGCCAUGCCGCGUGUGUGAAGAAGGUCUUCGGGUUGUAAAGCACUUUUGUUUGGAAAGAAAAGCAGUAAGUUAAUACCUUGCUGUUUUGACGGUACCAACAGAAUAAGCACCGGCUAACUUCGUG